CAAAACUCAAAAAAUAGAUCUCAGUUCGGACUGUAGGCUGCAACUCGCCUACACGAAGUUGGAAUUGCUAGUAAUCGUGGAUCAGCAUGCCACGGUGAAUACGUUCCCGGGUCUUGUACACACCGCCCGUCACACCAUGGGAGCUGGUAACACCCGAAGUCAGUAGUCUAACCGCAAGGAGGGCGCUGCCGAAAGUGGGAUUAGCGACUGGGGUGAAGUCGUAACAAGGUACC
This 233-nucleotide ribosomal RNA is filed under the name uncultured bacterium. Its description in RNAcentral is "partial 16S ribosomal RNA". It matches the Rfam family "Bacterial small subunit ribosomal RNA", at positions 1268 to 1500 of the family's 1533-position model. The record is from RNAcentral.